GCCUGGCAUGGUGGUGCACACCUGUAGUCCCAGCUACUUGGGAGGCUGAGGUAGGAGGAUUGCUUGAGUCCAGGAGGUCGAGACUGCAGUGAGCUGUGAUCUGGCCACUGCACUCCAGCCUGGGCAACAGAGCAAGACCCUGUCUCAA
Unclassified non-coding RNA from Macaca fascicularis (crab-eating macaque), 148 nucleotides. It matches the Rfam family "Metazoan signal recognition particle RNA". Rfam says of the family: The signal recognition particle (SRP) is a universally conserved ribonucleoprotein. The record is from Ensembl. NCBI's taxonomy places the organism in Eukaryota, Metazoa, Chordata, Mammalia, Primates, Cercopithecidae.